Molecule: long non-coding RNA, 474 nt
Filed under: Numida meleagris (helmeted guineafowl)
Lineage: Eukaryota; Metazoa; Chordata; Aves; Galliformes; Numididae
Description: lncRNA (ENSNMEG00000003918.1)
Source: RNAcentral
CUGCGUUGUGCUCCGCAGGCGGCAGCGGAGAAUUGCGGUGCUCCUGGGCGGUGUAAGAACUGCACGGAGACCUGUGGCUCCUCAUGAAGUCAGCUUGAAGCAGAAACUUGGAUUUCCUGGAAUGUCUCGGAACCCUCCUUGUCUGUCUGGUAACUGGUUGCCCAUCCAGGAAUAGACAAACGCUGUCGUCAUGGUUCCAGCCCCACGCUCUCCUAGUGCCGACUGCGCUGGCGACUCGGAGUGCAGCUCUGAAGAUGCACCGAGACCCUGCAGAUCCAGACCCUACUCGGACACCGACUGGACGGCUGAAAGAAGGUAGGCCCUCGGAGCGCCGCACGCCGGGACCGGCACGGAGCGGCUCUGGGACGGGUGCGCUCGAGCCCGUGGAUCGUGCCCACAGCUGCACUCAGUGGCAGCGGAGAACUGCGGUGCUCCUGUUUGGUGCCGGAACUGCACGGAGAUCUGUGGCUCUCC